RNAcentral lists this small RNA (29 nucleotides) under Bombyx mori (domestic silkworm). Its description in RNAcentral is "ovarian small RNA-15713". Lineage: Eukaryota; Metazoa; Arthropoda; Insecta; Lepidoptera; Bombycidae. The record is from RNAcentral.
GAGAGGUGGAACCCGCAAAAUUGUAGUUU